RNAcentral lists this ribosomal RNA (294 nucleotides) under uncultured marine eukaryote. RNAcentral's name for it is "partial 18S ribosomal RNA". It matches the Rfam family "Eukaryotic small subunit ribosomal RNA", at positions 1 to 296 of the family's 1831-position model. The record is from RNAcentral.
AACCUGGUUGAUCCUGCCAGUAUUUCAUACGCUCGUCUCAAAGAUUAAAGCCAUGCAUGUCUAAGUAUAAAUACUUUUACUUUGAAACUGCGAACGGCUCAUUAUAUCAGUUAUAGUUUAUUUGAUAGUCCCUUACUACUUGGAUAACCGUAGUAAUUCUACAGCUAAUACAUGCAUCAAUACCCAACUGUUCGCGGACGGGUAGUAUUUAUUAGAUAGAAACCACCCUCUUCGGAGGCGCUCAGGUGAUCCUGAUACUCUGCGAAUCGCAUGGCCUCGUGCCGGCGAUGGAUC